RNAcentral lists this non-coding RNA (81 nucleotides) under Methylophaga sp. RNAcentral describes it as "c-di-GMP sequence". It matches the Rfam family "c-di-GMP-I riboswitch aptamer". From Rfam's summary of the family: GEMM was predicted in a large-scale screen for bacterial structured RNA regulatory elements. Lineage: Bacteria; Pseudomonadati; Pseudomonadota; Gammaproteobacteria; Thiotrichales; Piscirickettsiaceae. The record is from RNAcentral.
CUUAAAUGAAGCCAAGCUCAGUGUGAAUUGGGUACGGAAAGCUACAGAUCUUUAUAGGAUGAAGAUGGCUGAGUUGCAUUU